AUACGUAGGAUGCGAGCGUUGUCCGGAAUUACUGGGCGUAAAGAGCUCGUAGGUGGUUUGUCGCGUCGUCUGUGAAAUUCCGGGGCUUAACUCCGGGCGUGCAGGCGAUACGGGCAUAACUUGAGUACUGUAGGGGAGACUGGAAUUCCUGGUGUAGCGGUGAAAUGCGCAGAUAUCAGGAGGAACCCCGGUGGCGAAGGCGGGUCUCUGGGCAGUAACUGACGCUGAGGAGCGAAAGCAUGGGUAGCGAACAGGAUUAGAUACCCUGGUAGUCCAUGCCGUAAACGGUGGGCGCUAGGUGUAGGGGUCUUCCACGACUUCUGUGCCGUAGCUAACGCAUUAAGCGCCCCGCCUGGGGAGUACGGCCGCAAGGCUAAAACUUAAAGGAAUUGACGGGG
This 398-nucleotide ribosomal RNA is filed under the name uncultured bacterium. RNAcentral's name for it is "partial 16S ribosomal RNA". It matches the Rfam family "Bacterial small subunit ribosomal RNA", at positions 523 to 918 of the family's 1533-position model. The record is from RNAcentral.